CUUCGAUUUCUAAAAUGGAAAAUGGCGAAGAUUCGGUUUUGUAUAAUAGCAGAAGAGAUCAACAGCAUCUUGAUGAAAAUCUUGAAAAGGAAAAAACCGCCACGUGUACCACAGAAAACAAAAGCGCAACCAAAGAUGAACAAGAAGAAUGAUUAUGAACAACCAAGCAAGAAAAAAACAAUGUGGGAGUACAAAAGAACUUGGUUUAGGUUCAUGAACACAUGGUCAUGCACACGCACCGUCAGGUUCGUGUUGAUUAUACAAAAGAUAAGGUGUAGAUAUGUUUAGAGGGGUUCGGAUACAAUGAUGUGGAAUAUUUGUUUCUAUAAUCAAGUUUCCAGGAUAUAUAGGCAGGGAGAACUUAGAAUUCGGGUUUAAAAUU
This is a long non-coding RNA of Helianthus annuus (common sunflower), 382 nucleotides long. RefSeq lists it as uncharacterized. The record is from RefSeq and is a predicted model, not a curated record. NCBI's taxonomy places the organism in Eukaryota, Viridiplantae, Streptophyta, Magnoliopsida, Asterales, Asteraceae. The transcript is spliced from 3 exons.